RNAcentral lists this ribosomal RNA (385 nucleotides) under uncultured bacterium. Its description in RNAcentral is "bacterial SSU rRNA". It matches the Rfam family "Bacterial small subunit ribosomal RNA", at positions 370 to 772 of the family's 1533-position model. The record is from RNAcentral.
AAUGGGGGAAACCCUGACGCAGCGACGCCGCGUGGGCGAUGAAGGUCUUCGGAUCGUAAAGCCCUGUCGGGAGGGAAGAAAUUGACGGUACCUCCAAAGGAAGCACCGGCUAACUCUGUGCCAGCAGCCGCGGUAAUACAGAGGGUGCAAGCGUUGCUCGGAAUUACUGGGCGUAAAGAGCGUGUAGGCGGUCAGGCAGGUCGGAUGUGAAAUCCCCGGGCUCAACCCGGGAACUGCAUCCGAUACCACCUGGCUAGAAUGCGGAAGAGAGAGGUGGAAUUCCCAGUGUAGAGGUGAAAUUCGUAGAGAUUGGGAGGAACACCAGUGGCGAAAGCGGCCUCUUGGUCCUGCAUUGACGCUGAGACGCGAAAGCGUGGGGAGCAAA